This 72-nucleotide transfer RNA is filed under the name Schistocerca americana (American grasshopper). Its description in RNAcentral is "tRNA-Pro". It matches the Rfam family "tRNA". Rfam says of the family: Transfer RNA (tRNA) molecules are approximately 80 nucleotides in length. Their secondary structure includes four short double-helical elements and three loops (D, anti-codon, and T loops). Lineage: Eukaryota; Metazoa; Arthropoda; Insecta; Orthoptera; Acrididae. The record is from RNAcentral.
GGCUCGUUGGUCCAGGGGUAUGGUUCCUGCUUAGGGUGCAGGAGGUCCCGGGUUCAAAUCCCGGACGAGCCC